RNAcentral lists this ribosomal RNA (454 nucleotides) under uncultured bacterium. RNAcentral's name for it is "bacterial SSU rRNA". It matches the Rfam family "Bacterial small subunit ribosomal RNA", at positions 340 to 784 of the family's 1533-position model. The record is from RNAcentral.
UACGGAAGGCAGCAGUGGGGAAUAUUGCACAAUGGGCGAAAGCCUGAUGCAGCUAUGCCGCGUGUAUGAAGAAGGCCUUAGGGUUGUAAAGUACUUUCAUCGGGGAGGAAAAACAAAACUAAUAAUUUUAUUUCUUGACGUUACCCGAAAAAGAAGCACCGGCUAACUCCGUGCCAGCAGCCGCGGUAAUACGGAGGGUGCUAGCGUUAAUCAGAAUUACUGGGCGUAAAGAGCACGUAGGUGGUUUUUUUAAGUCAGAUGUGAAAUCCCUGGGCUUAACCUAGGAACUGCAUUUUGAAACUGAAAUACUAGAGUAUCGUAGAGGGAGGUAGAAUUCUAGGUGUAGCGGUGAAAUGCGUAGAUAUCUGGAGGAAUACCUGUGGCGAAAGCGGCCUCCUAAACGAAUACUGACACUGAGGUGCGAAAGCGUGGGGAGCAAACGAGGGAUUAGAUA